UGGUUCUGGCAUCGAUGAAGAACGCAGCGAAAUGCGAUAAGUAAUGUGAAUUGCAGAAUUCAGUGAAUCAUCGAAUCUUUGAACGCACAUUGCGCCCGCUGGUACUCCAGCGGGCAUGCCUGUUCGAGCGUCAUUUCAACCCUCAAGCUUUUUUGCUUGGCGUUGGGGAUCAGCUAGCCGAUAGCUGGCCCUGAGAUAUAGUGGCGAUCUCGCUGUAGCUUCCUCUGCGUAGUAGCACAAUCUCGCUCUGGAAAGACAGCGUGGUUCAGCCGUUAAACCCCCCACUUUCUCAAAGGUUGACCUCGAAUCAGGUAGGAAUACCCGCUGA
RNAcentral lists this unclassified non-coding RNA (328 nucleotides) under uncultured fungus. Its description in RNAcentral is "partial contains 5.8S ribosomal RNA and internal transcribed spacer 2". The stretch from base 1 to 133 matches the Rfam family "5.8S ribosomal RNA", at positions 22 to 154 of the family's 154-position model. The record is from RNAcentral. Lineage: Eukaryota; Fungi.